AGAUUGAACGCUGGCGGCAUGCUUUACACAUGCAAGUCGAACGGGUGGUGGGGCAACCUGCCAUUCAGUGGCGAACGGGUGAGUAAUGCAUCGGAACGUGUCCCGUAGUGGGGGAUAACCCGGCGAAAGCCGGACUAAUACCGCAUAUGCUCUACGGAGGAAAGCUGGGGACCCUGAAGGAAACUGAGGGGCCUUGUGCUAUGGGAGCGGCCGAUGUCCGAUUAGCUUGUUGGUGGGUAAUGGCCUACCAAGGCGACGAUCGGUAGCUGGUCUGAGAGGAUGAUCAGCCACACUGGGACUGAGACACGGCCCAGACUCCUACGGGAGCAGCAGUGGGAAUUUGGAC
RNAcentral lists this ribosomal RNA (346 nucleotides) under uncultured soil bacterium. RNAcentral's name for it is "bacterial SSU rRNA". It matches the Rfam family "Bacterial small subunit ribosomal RNA", at positions 26 to 369 of the family's 1533-position model. The record is from RNAcentral.